Small nucleolar RNA from Engraulis encrasicolus (European anchovy), 134 nucleotides. RefSeq annotates it as small nucleolar RNA SNORA68. NCBI's taxonomy places the organism in Eukaryota, Metazoa, Chordata, Actinopteri, Clupeiformes, Engraulidae. The transcript has a single exon. The record is from RefSeq and is a predicted model, not a curated record.
AAUGCACACAAAACCCAAAGGUCAUUACUGUUCCAUUAAUGUUCUUUAUAAGAUGUGUGCAUAGAGUGAAACAGAACCUUGUCGCCUUUCACAUGCUGCCGUGCAACUGAAAGUGAAUUCAAGGUCCGACACUU